CAUAACACUAAACUCAAACACAACAACCGUAACCACUUCGGCUCAAUGG
Molecule: small RNA, 49 nt
Filed under: Vibrio cholerae O1 biovar El Tor str. N16961
Lineage: Bacteria; Pseudomonadati; Pseudomonadota; Gammaproteobacteria; Vibrionales; Vibrionaceae
Source: RNAcentral